UCGGGAAUCUUCGGCAAUGGACGAAAGUCUGACCGAGCAACGCCGCGUGAGUGAAGAAGGUUUUCGGAUCGUAAAACUCUGUUGUUAGAGAAGAACAAGGACGUUAGUAACUGAACGUCCCCUGACGGUAUCUAACCAGAAAGCCACGGCUAACUACGUGCCAGCAGCCGCGGUAAUACGUAGGUGGCAAGCGUUGUCCGGAUUUAUUGGGCGUAAAGCGAGCGCAGGCGGUUUCUUAAGUCUGAUGUGAAAGCCCCCGGCUCAACCGGGGAGGGUGAUUGGAAACUGGGAGACUUGAGUGCAGAAGAGGAGAGUGGAAUUCCAUGUGUAGCGGUGAAAUGCGUAGAUAUAUGGAGGAACACCAGUGGCGAAGGCGGCUCUCUGGUCUGUAACUGACGCUGAGGCUCGAAAGCGUGGGGAGCAAACAGG
Molecule: ribosomal RNA, 429 nt
Filed under: Gemmatimonadota bacterium
Lineage: Bacteria; Pseudomonadati; Gemmatimonadota
Description: Gemmatimonadetes bacterium partial 16S ribosomal RNA
Rfam family: Bacterial small subunit ribosomal RNA
Source: RNAcentral